This 361-nucleotide ribosomal RNA is filed under the name uncultured bacterium. RNAcentral describes it as "bacterial SSU rRNA". It matches the Rfam family "Bacterial small subunit ribosomal RNA", at positions 129 to 523 of the family's 1533-position model. The record is from RNAcentral.
CCUCCUGGUGGGGAAUAACCCUGGGAAACCGGGGCUAAUACCGCAUAAGUCCGGAAGGGGAAAGGCGAAAGUCGCCGGGAGAGGAGCCCGCGGCCGAUUAGCUGGUUGGUGAGGUAAGAGCUCACCAAGGCGAUGAUCGGUAGCCGGCCUGAGAGGGCACACGGCCACACUGGCACUGAAACACGGGCCAGACUCCUACGGGAGGCAGCAGUGGGGAAUCUUGCACAAUGGGGGGAACCCUGAUGCAGCGACGCCGCGUGAGCGAUGAAGCCCUUCGGGGUGUAAAGCUCUUUCGGCAGGAACGAUAAUGACGGUACCUGCAGAAGAAGCUGCGGCUAACUACGUGCCAGCAGCGCGGUAA